CAUGCUCUGUCUCUCUCUGUCCCAAAAAUAAAUAAACCUUAAAAAAAAAAAAAAAAAAGAUAGGACAGCCUGGUCUGAUAGAAAACAUCAUGAUAUAGUAAGCACACUUUUAAAAACAAAUCCUCUUUGUUCUAUGAUCUCCUCAUUACUCAAUAUUUGUGUCUUUAUGAGAAUAUGCAUGAUCAUAAUAGUUUGAAAUUAGAUAGUUCUUUAUUAACCUUAAACUCUGGCCUCCCCUCAGUCCUCCCCUCAUAUCACCUUCUAGGAACUGGAAUGCCGAUGUGUCUGGGUCGGAGGCAAGGAUAAAUUUAUAUCCACGGUCACAGGGGUGAGGCCUCUGUCUUGACAUUCAGUCAUUUGGGGAAUUGCUUUCUGUUCCACCAGGCAAACCCAGCGUGGUAGCCUAAAACUGCUUGUGUCUGGGGGUGCUUCAAGAAGUAGGGUGGUGGAGAGGUUCUGCCAGCCGCCCCGUCUCCCUUGACGCUUGUCUCUAAACCAGUUCUUCCAGCUUCCUCAUGUGAUGGGAGCUCUCCGAGUAGCCUUCCAGGAUGUUCUUCCUUCCUAAGUCAGCCAAGUUCUAGUCUCCUGCUUGCCAGUCAGAUCCUUGCCAAUGCAAGUUAGGGGGAUUGGAGGCACUCUGAUCUAGCUCUCGCGAGGGAGCAUCUCCCUCCGUAUUAUCCCUUAGAUAUGCCUCGUCAUAUCAGGCUGCUCAGGAGGCUUAGGGGAAAGGGGGACCAAGGGGCAGGUCAUCGCGCUGUUGGGGGAGCCCCUGGAACUUGUCUCUAGCCGAGGCCAAAUGAAUCCUUCACGUCAUUUAGGCCAGCUGAGAACUUGAGAGGCUUAAAGCAAAAGCCUUUCUCCUCUCCUUCCCUUUCCCUCCUCCUUCUCUCUUUCUCCCUUGCCCAACCCCUCUACUCUCUCUCUCUCUCUCUUCCUGAUGGUAGGAAAGGACUGAAGUGAUUAGGAGCCUGACUCUCCCACCCUGUUCUUUUCGAUCUCAAUACAAUAGAUCAUCCUAUCCCCUACACCACCCAGUAAGCCAUGCAUUAUACAUGAAGGUGCUUGUCUGCUUUGGGGAGCCCUCAGCGCCAGAAAAGUGCUGGCUGUGCACAUCUGGGAUUGGCAUUCACACAGCAUAAAUGGACAGAAAUGACAGGUUCAAGGCUGGGAAUGCCCAAGUAGACUGGGAACAGAUUCAUUUAGGAACACUGAAAAUCUAUUAAAUACCUCUUCAGAGGUGCCUGGGGGGCUCAAUCAGUUAAGCGUCUGACUUCAGAUCAGGUUGUGAUCUCACAAUUUGUGAGUUCGAGCCCCACAUUGGGCUCACUCCUGUCAGUGCAGAGCCCGCUUUGGAGCCUCUGUUCCCCUGUCUCUCUGCCCCUCCCCUGUUCGUGCACAUGCUCACUCACUUGCUUGCUUGCUCGCUCUCUCUCUCAAAAAUACAUAAACAUUGGGGCACCUGGGUGGCUCAGUUGGCUGAGUACCUGACUUCAGCUCAGGUCAUGAUCUCACAGUCGUGGGUUCGAGCCCCGCGUCAGACUCUGUGCUGACAGCUCAGAGCCUGGAGCCUGCUUUGGAUUCUGUGUCUCCCUCUCUUUCUCUGUCCCUCCCCUGCUCUCGCUCUGUCUCUGUCUCUCUCAAAAGUAAAUAAACAUUAAAAAAAUAAAAAUAAAUAAACUUAAAAAAUAAACAUUUAAAAAAUAAUAAUAAUAAAAUAAAUGCCUCUUCAUCCGUGUUCAAAGGAAAUGAUUUUAAGAUUUUUGUUUGUUUGUGUACAUUUUGGAAUGCCCACUUCUUCAUGGAGGCUAAUAUGUUGUAUAUGAAUCUUCAGUCUAACAUUUUAUUUCAUUAAAUGAUAAGAUGAUAAUGAUGAAAUAGCAGUUAUUUAUUGAUCACUUUCUAUCAAGCACAGCACUGCAUGAUUUAUACAUAUUCUCUCAUUUAAGCCUCACACCUGGUGCUAUAACCUUCUUUCCUUUGUAAAAACUCCGGACUGACAAAAGGGACAAAUGUUCGCUCUUAUUUCCAGUUGCCAGAUUUAUGUUCUCCACUCUGACUACACGUUAGAAUAACCUGAUGAGCUUGUAAAAUUGAUGCUGAAGUCCUACUCCCAGCCAAUGAAGUCAGAAGGCCGUGGGUAGAUAUCACUAUAGAACAAAUGAAGCUAAUUGCACGGAUUCCGAUGGAAAAGAAGGAGACUACCAUUGCAUUAAAAAUGUGAUGGUACAUUCAUGGUUAGAAGAGUGUGAACUAGAGAGAGAAAAAGAUAGAACUACACAGUAAGCUUUUAGCUUCAAUGAAUGGGAGGUUAAGUGAAUGGGGUGACAGAUAAUGAAACAAACGUAGAGUCGCUGGUUUUCGAUUUUAUAACAAAAUGUGUUACAAGUAUCCUGAGCCCUGAUUCAGAAGGAUCAAACUAUCGAAAUAGUCAACAGUGCUAAGAAAUAGAACUGGGGCUAGAUAGUAUGCAAAAUAAGGACAUGAAACUAAUAAAAUGUGCCAACAUUUACUGAAAGAAAAGGCCCAAGGUGAUGAAUGUCAAAAUCUCUUCCCAGGAGAUCCCAAUGUACGGCAGGGAUUGAAAAUUGGUGCUUUGCCUUCUUCUUCUCCAUCCAGUCUUCCUACCCUGCACAUCUCCACUUUGCUAUUUGGCAUCAGGACUGUGACUUAUGCUAUUUCCAGACAAGCAAAUGGCACUUAGCCCUGUGGAAGGGAUCCUGUGCUCAAGCCAGCUUGACAUGGUUUCUACAGAAGGCAUCUGUUUGGAGAUGGAGAAACCGAGAAUAGUGUGUCUCAUCCCCCCCCACCCCAUUUCAUUUGGCUCAUCACUGGUCAUGUAUUUGCUACAGCGUUAUUCCCCGUGACUGAGCUUCUAAGGCAUCACCUGAUCUUGGGACCAGCUGCACUUAUAAAAUGCUUAGAAAAGCUUUUGGAGGGACCUCACUCUUUUUGUUUGUUUGUUUGUUUGUUUGUUUGUUUGUUUGUUUUUGUUCAUGAGUAAGCUAGACAUUUCGGUCCCCUCCAGAAGCGGCAAGCACCAGGAAGAGACUCCUUUCUUUGGGAUCAAUUUCCCACCCUUUGAUUUUAAGAUGGUCUGUUUUUCGGCAACUUUGCCUUGCAUUCUUUGACUCACUUUUCAAGUCAAUAAAUAAAGCACAUUAGCGUUAUGUCUCUGUUGGAGUCAGAGUUCUGUCCUUUAGAACAGUGGUUUAAAAGGUAGAGUGUUUUGAAAUUACCCCUGGGAAUGUUUUGGAAAUCUGUGUGGGAGGGAGGAUUAGUUGUCACAAUAUUUGGGUAGCACUGUUGGUCUGGGACAGUUCUGUCAACUUUUGAACAUCCCACCAGAUAUUUGUGUAAGAAAAUCCAACAGCCCAACACCCUAUUUAUGAUUAUCUGAGCCCAGAACCCAACUCCAUUUUACAUGUAAACACAAAAUAUCUUUUGUGGGGUUUUAAUAUGCGCUGAGUUCCAUGAAGGCAACUACAAUGUAAAAAGAGGGAAGAUCAUACUUUAUUUUGCUUGCUCUACUAAGAAUUGCCUGCCAUUGCAGAAAAUCCUAUCACUGGCUUGGGGUAUUUUACUUGCCAAUAUGAAACACCUGCAUUAGGCUUCAUUUAUAGCCGUCACUUGCAUGUGGGACUCAAUGUCUACUUCAUUAUGCCUUCUCCUUUCAUGCCUUUGUAUCAUAUUAUUACUUUCCUUUUAUCUCCCCUUUAUAUGUUAGAAUAUUGUGUUGGUUUUUUAAAAACUAUGUUAUAGGUGAAUGAUACGAAGUAUGAAUGCACUUUAGAAUAGUUAAGGGGCUGUUACAAAGUAUUGGUUGUAAAAAGUGGGUCUUGGGUCUAAUAAGGUUGAGAACGCUUCCUUUAGAAGGCAAUGAAGCCCUGCUUUUUAGUCUGGAUCUAGAGGAAUCUUGAACCUCAACUCUGUACUUAACAUAAGAAGUUAAGAGAAAUUUCAAGGUAUAUAGUGUGCAAGUGUUUUCCGAACAACAUCUACUUGGAAGUACGAAGUUUCAAAAAGUUUCAAAAAAAUGGAAUAUAAUUACAUCGUAUACUACACUCUAAAUACAACUAUAUAUGCAAUAUAUAGUAGACAUUGGAUGUAUAUAUAUAAAAUAUCAAUAAUAACACAUGCAAUUGUAUGAACAUGUACUAAGGGGUAACACUCUCCCUUCAUGUAACUGUUUGAAAUAAGCUUUAACUCUGAAUUCCAAGUUCUAACCCCAAAGGAAGGACAUACUUUAAAAAAUGUUAAGCUGAAUGAGUACAAUGCAGGACUUCAUCAUGAAAACAUCUUUGUCACCCUGGUUUUUCUUCCAUGCCUGCUCAUCAGGCCCUGAAAGAGACAUCCACACCCAUGACUGCAUUGCCCGACUUUCUUGGGAGUUUCCUCUCCUGACCCUGGUGGAGGCCUGAUCUUGUUUUGUUGCUGUUGCUAUAGGAGCAGCCCGAGUCGCAGGGGUGACUCCAUCACUACAACAAAUGCAUGCAAAAAGCUGAGAAGCAGAUUUCAGCCUUCAAGACUUCAAACACGGAGGAAUGAAAACAAUCUGUGCAAUUUAAAUAGAAUAAAUCCCAAUGCCCCCAAGGGAAGUGGGUGUUUAUUUGGGGGCUGUAAGCACCACCAGCUCGAGGCUUUACUCAUGACAAACUGAACGUCCAGGGCAGUGUGUGAGUGCGUCUGUUGUACUGGGGGUUUAUGGCCCCCCGAGCUGGGCCAGGGGAGGAGAAAAACAAAUCAGCACAGCUUAGGACUUCCUUCCCAGGCGUCCAGCCCGCCACGCUCCGGUGCAUCCACGCUGCUGCUGUCACCCUAUUAGUCACAACAGCCUCUCCUAGAGAGGGACUGAUUGCAGACCCGCUGACUCAGCGUCCUGGCGUAGGUGGAGCCCAAGCGUGGCGCGUCGCGCGUGAGCGACCCUCAGGAUGGGGCGGGCAGGUGCAUCCAGUGCUGCGCCGUUUGACCGCAUGGCCGCAGAGGUCACCAGUUGGGUAGAAGCUACUCAAGGUGCCCGGCACCCUGGUGAGAACCAGAGGGAUUCUGGCGGUUGGGGCGCACAAGGCGAGCACUUGCGAAGGCCACGCAGGCGGGCGAGGGCUCUCAAUGUCCUGCCAGCAGCGUGCCAGGGAGGACGGGUUCCAAGACUGCUGGGCAAAGCAGAUCGCAGACCGGGAAGAAAAGCUUUACAGAGCUUUACCUUGUAAAAUGUGGCUGGGCGCUUCCUGACUUGGUUAGGAACUGCUAGUUUUUAAUCCUGUUAUGUUACUACUGGCCUUUUAUUAUUACAUAUGGGAAGACAGCAUUAAGUUAUUAAAAUUAAGUUAUUAAAAAUUGUAGCCAUAGUUUUAUAGAAAAAAAUUGAGCAGAAAGUACAAAGAAUUCCCAUGUGUGGUGUUCCCUCUUCCUUCCCAAGGGGGUUUCCUUAUUAUUAACGUCUUGCAUUAGGGGAUUACAUUUGUUACAAUUGACCAAUCAAUAUAGACACAUUACUAUUAACUGUAGUUCAUGGUUUCAUUAGGGUUCACUCUUGGUGUUGUACUGUUCUAUGGGUUUUGGCAAACACAUGUCAUGUAUUGAUCAUUAGGGUAUCAUACAGAAUAGUUCCACAGCCCUAAAAACCCCCUGUGCUCUGCCUAUCCAUUCCUCCCUCCUUCACCUCUUCCCUAGCCCCUGGGAACCACCGAUCUUUUUAUGUGGUCCUAGUUUUGCCUUUUCUGGAAUGUCAUAGAGUUGGAAUGGCAUAGUAUGCAGCCUUUUCAGAUUGGCUUCUUUCAUUUAGCAAUAUGCACUUAAGUCUCUUCCAUGUCUGUUUUUUUUUUUUUUCUUUUUAAAGAAGGCUACACUCCCAACACUGAGCCCAACUCACAGCUUCAACUAACUCCCAACCCUGAGAUCAAGAUCUCAGCGGAGAUCAAGAGUCCCACGCUUGGGUCCCCUGAGUGGAUCAGUCAGUUAAGCCUCCGACUCUUGCUUUCAGCUCAGGUCACGAUCUCAUGGUUUGUGAGAUCCACCCCUGCAUUAGGUUCUACAUGGACAGUGUGGAGCCUGCUUGGGAUUCUCUCUCUCCCUCUCUCUCUGCACCUUCCCCACAUGCUCUCAAGUGUGUGCCCACGUACUCUCUCUCUCUUUCAAAAUAAAUAGAAUAAACAUUUAAAAAAAAAAGAGUCUCACACUUAACCACCUGAGUCACCCAAAUGCCCCUCCUCCAUGUCUUUUCAUGGUUUGAUAGAUUUUUUUUUGUUUGAACAUAAUACUGAAUUUUAUUUUUUUUAAUUUACAUCCAUAGAUUUUUUUUUUAAAUCACUGAAUAAUAUUCCAACAUACGGAUGUUCUACGGUCUGUUUAUCCAUUCAUCUAUUGAAGGACAUCUCGAUUGCUUCCAAGUUUUGACAGUUAGUUACUGGCUCUUUUUAUGUAUCUGUAAUUAAGAGAUUACAAAUCAAAAGUAAUCUUCAUGUUAGUGUUUUUUAACCAAACAUAAUUAUUAAUGACUUUCUGCAUCCAAACACAUUUGGGCACUCUGAUAUCGCUCGCACAUUGGUCUAACACCUCUUCUGCACAUAUAUAUUGAAUAUAUUAUUCAAUUAUUAUAAAAUGAUAUUGAAUUAUAAAAUUCAAUUAUUAUAAAAUGAUAUUAUUCAAUUAUUGUAAAAAUGAUAUUGUAAAAAUGAUACCCAGGGGUGCCUGGGUGGCUCAGUUGGUUAAGCAUCUGAUUCUUGAUUUUGUCAUAAGUAAUAAUCUCACCAUUUGUGAGAUCAAACUCCAUGUCGGGCUCUGUGUUGACAACACAGAACCUGCUUGGGAUUCUCUCUCUUCCUCUCUCUCUGCCCUUCCCCCACUUGCAUGCACGAGGCUGAACAAUCUCCCUCUUUCUCUCAAUAAACUGAUAAAAAAAUGAUACCCACUUCAGAUGAACAUUUUUCCAAAUAUGAAACAUAUAAAGUGAGAAGUAAAAUCCUACUUUCACACCAGCCCCAAGCCCAUUCCCACUGCUCAGGGGUAACCACUCUUAACAUUUUUAUGUGUAUCCUACUAGCUAUUGACUCUUCAUAUACAAGCAUAUGUGUAUCUUAUCUUUUGAGGGUAACAAAAUAUGCCUCCUGGAAAACAUGUGUGGAAAUAAUUUCUAAGGAAGGUGUCCUGCUUUUGCUUUAACAAAGUGCAUUUGAAAAUAAAGUCAAAUGGAACACUUAUUUUACGUCCACUUUUUGACACCUUCAACAAGAGAGAGACUUUUGAUUCCUUUUCUCCAAAAUGUUACCCAGUUCCCUGGUCCCUAGAGCUACACCAAAUGUACGAGACAUUGUAUCAUUCCUGAGCAGUAGGAGAGUUUGGAAGGUGACCUCAUCUGUCUAACCUCCAGCUGCAAAUUCUUAGAUCAGCCAUUAUUUGUAUUCUCUUAUUCUUACUAGAUUCUUGGUGGUGACACUCUUACCCCAGGAAUUGACUUGUCUCUUCUUUGGUGACCAAAGUUAGCAGAAUAAACUCUUGAGGGGGUGAGGGGAGGCUCCCUUUAAUUCCCCCGAGUAUUCAUAGCAUAAAGGGAUUUUUUAAAAAACACAGGCUCGGGGCACUGGGUGGCUCAGUUGGUUGAACGUGCGACUUUGGCUCAGGUCAUGAGGUCAUGAUCUCGUGGUUCGUGAGUUUGAGCCCCACAUCAGGCUCUGUGCUGACAGCUAGGAGCCUGGAGCCUGCUUCGGAUUCUGUGUCUCCUUCUCUCUCUGCCCCUUCUCUGCUUGCACACUGUCUCUCUCUCUCUCAAAAAUAAAUAAACAUUAAAAAAAAUGUUUUAACUAAAAAAGCCCAGGCCCGUCUGUCAGAAUAUCUGUCCUGCCAAAAACAUUAUCUGCAGUUCUUUGGAAAAUGAGAAUAGGAAAUACUACAAGCUCCUAACCUCCAUUAGAGGAAAUAAUAACCACAGUGCAGGUUCAAAAGGUAACCAAAUACUCAUGGUUUCCAUGUAAAAGACAUAGUCACAGAAACCACUCCCUCUUGCCCUUGCUUUUGCCACAAUAAUUUAUAAUUAAAAACUCUUUUCAUAGAAUAAAAUAUUAGUGGUUUUACAUUGGACCUUGAACCUCUAGGAAGUUUUAUUUCUUUUGUAAAUGUCCUCAUUACUGAAGUUUGAACAACACUGUAUUAUUAGACUGCUGGGAAAGGAACCUCCCCCACAUGUGAUGUCAGUGAAGGAAUGAGGACACUCAUUGGCACUUGGAUUGGUUCCAUUGGCAGACCCCUUGCACAGAGAGGGUUUUGCUCUUUUUAAGUUUGGUAUAUGAGCAAACCAAAGGUUAGUGAGAGACUGCUUUAUGUAAGAACUUCCUGCCUGGCAAAUUUCAUUCAGUUCUUUUUAGUCUUUUUCAGCAGCCUCUUGAGUAUCAACCAAAUAGAAAAGUAGAAACAAGGGGCACCCAGAUGGCUCAGUUGGUUAAGCGUCCAAUUUUGGCUCAGGUUGUGAUCUCAGGGUCAUGGGUUCGAGCCCCACGUUGGGCUCUGUGCUGAUGGCUCAGAGCCUGGAGCCUGCUUCAGAUUCUCUGUCUUCCUUUCUCUCUGCUCUUCCCCCACUUGCACUCUGUCCCUCUCUCUCAAAAAUAAUAAAUGAACAUUUAAAAAUUAAAGAAAAAGUAGAAACAAGAGUGGAAAGAACCAAAAAAUGGGCAUCAAGAAAUACAAACUAUCCAGGGAUUUAACAGUAAGAGACAAAUAAUGGGUUUCAUCUGAUGCAUAUGGAAUAUUAAUAUUUAAUUUAUCUAAAUUUUACAGAUAAAUGUAUGUAGAUGGGAGAUAUUAGGGGUAAUCUUUUUGUUUUUGUUUUUUUCAGUUAUGUGGCACUGUUACCAGCAAAUCGUCACAUUUGUUCUAUUUCUGACCAGUAGUGUAUAUAAGGAAACUACAGGGGGAGAGAGUACUGAAAUGGUGUAUCUUCUUGUAAAAUAUGGAAGUGGUAGGAUGACAGAGGAGAAAAGCCAACCCAGUACAUGGUCUUCUGAUGGUCCUAAAUUCCUAAACUCAGCUAGGUCAGAGGGAACCAUUUCCUGGGAGCAAGUCUUCCAUAAACACCACGAAUCACUUGGCCUAAUGUUUUAUCACUAUUUAGAUUACGCUCUGAAAUAAUAACUAAGCAACUAGGUCACUGAACAGUUCAUUUAUAAGUACGUGCCGGCUAUUCGUUGGUACAGAAGAUGUUUUCCAGACUUGAAAAUCUGUGAUACUCUUGAGUUUUCCCAAGAUGUCCACCUACUGAGUACAGGCUGUCCAAAGAGGGCGACUAGUCAACCGCCCUGACAGUGAACUCAGAGCAUCACAGCAGUUCAGUCUCACAAGCAGGAAUGAUCUGAAGGCUUGCUGCUCCCUCUCACUUUAAAGUAUCUUCAGGUUCAAGAACUCUAGCACUCCUGUAUUCCCACAAAUACACAACAUCAGACUCCUCCCUGCAGUUAAAUAGGUCAACAGGCUGCUACAACCAAAUGCACGUUAAAUUGUUUGAGUGUGUCCAUGGGAAGGACACAAAGUUUGUUUUUUAUUAAAAAAAAUUUUUUUUAACAUUUAUUUAUUUUUCGAGAGAUAGAGACAGAGCGUGAGCAGGGAGAGGGGCAGAGAGAGAGGGAGACACAGAAUCUGAAGCAGGUUCCAGGCUCGGAGCUGUCAGCACAGAGCCGGAGGCAGGGCUCGAACUCGUGAUCUGGGAGUUCGUGACCUGAGCCGAAGUCGGAUAUUUAACUGACUGAACCACCCAGGCACUCCAGGACACAAAGUUUUAAAUUUUAUUUUUCCUAGGCUUUUUGGUUUUUUUGUCAGGAGAGAAAAUUGGUUAAGGAGGUUUGCUUUGGGGUUUCUCUUUUGCUGUGAUAUCUGUUAAUGCAUACCUUGAUGUGACAAUAAACUGUCAUUCAUGAAAAGUUAUUCGUAUUUUCAUGUGGCUCUUUAUUUAUUUUGAUAUUUAACAUUCCACUGAGCAUCAGAGAUGUAACACAUACCAUCCUAAUUGAAUUCAGAUGUCAUUUCUGACGAUCAUAUUUUAACCGCUUGUUUCAUUGAGUAAUUUUAAAGGCCCAUUGGUUCACUUGAAUAUUCUGUACACUAAUCUGAUGAUUUCCUUUCAAUUUGGCUAAUAAUGCAGGAAGAGGUUAGAUAUUUACAGGAAAUAUUUCAAGUAAUUGGAAACAAUUGGCACUUUCACAUGUGCACACUUUCCAUUUGCAGACAGGGUAAUAGAACCCUAAGUAAUUAUAGUCAAAUAGCCCUCCAGCUGUGUCAUUCUGAGCACAUAAAUCACAUCCUGUCAAUAUUCCAUCAGUCAGAUGGGCCAACAAGCAGUAAUAUAUUUAUGAAUUCUGUAUAACUAUUAAUAGAAUAUGAACAAGUAGAUCUGAAAGGGUUCUAUUUAGAAUAGGACCUAUUUUCAUAAAAGGAGGGAGAAUUCCUAUUUGAGAUAAAACGUGUUUAUUUCUCUCCAUUCACCCUGUAGAUAGUAGAGAGAAGAGCUUCAUUUCUGUUUCCUUCUGACUGGGUAGGAAGACACUCCACCCCCUAGUCCCAUCCCCACAUGCCACUGGGACCGUAUUUCCUUCUGUGGCUUAGAGGAAAAGGAUCCAUGGUUCAUCCUUGGCAGAAUCAGAGCCUGUAUCCACUCGUCAUGGGACAGGCAAACAAGAGGACAGACCACCCACGAGCAGGCUGGAGGGCUUCAGUCAGGCUGGCUUUCAUUUCCUUAGCUAUCAAUUACGGCAUAUGCCAGAAGAAAAAAACUUACACAUUUCAGUAACCCGAACAUCCACGGGUAUGUUGGGUCUAUGGGUACAAGCACAUUCCCGUUGGUAUUGGUAGCUGAACUCUGUUGACUUAUUAGUUCCAACCUACACAGCCCAGUCUCCACAUUUAAAACUCUCGUUGUCAACAGAUGAAUGGAUAAACAAAAUGUGGUAUAUACAUAUGAUGGAAUAUUAUUCAGCUUUUAAAAGGAAGGAAAUUCAGAUGCAUGUACAACAAGGAUGAACCAUCAAGAUAUUAUGCUAAGUGAAAUAAGCCAAACAUAGAAGGACAGAAACUGUAUGAUUCCACUUAUACGAGGCCUAAAGUAGUCAAAUCCAUAGAGACAGAAAGUAGGGUAGAGGUUAACCAGGGCUGGGGGAAGGGAGGAAUGCGCAGGUAGCAUUUAAUGGGUUUACUGGGUACAGAGUUUCAAUUUAGGACGAUGAGAAGUUCUGGAGAUAGAUGAUGGUGAUGCUUGCUCCACAGUGUAAACGUAUUUCAUGCCACUGACUGUACACGUAAAAAUGAUUAAAAAAAAAAUGUUAAAUUUCAUAUUACAUAUGUUUUACUAUAGUAAAAAACAGCCAGCACCGGAACAUUUUAAAAAAUAGAUAGUACUUUUACUUGUUCCUGAGACACCCCAGAAUUGCCUCACGUUUACUCAGAAGCAAACUGGGUCUUGUUCACCAUUUUGGUUUCCUUAUAUAAAUCCUCUGCCCAGAUGCUUUCAAGGAAGAGAUGGCUUAUUCACUGCCCCUGCUACCAAGUGUCUUCCCUCCCCCCACACAAAGGUAUUUCCCUUCCUGCUGAAUUCCCAGUGCUACACACCCUCUUAUACCCUGAGGGGCACAGAUUCCUUUCAGUCCUGUGCCCCAUCACCACCACCACAACUGAGCUGUGUGCCACACAGAGAUGGAGAAAGCACUCCUCUCCCUAGUGCUCUGUGCCACAACUUGGGACCCAAAGCAAAAGGUGUAUGCCUUGAGGCUCCCCAGUUCAUUCUAGAACAGCUUCUGUUUCUAACCCAUUUAACCACAGGGGCUCAAAACUGGCCCAAGAACUAGAAAAAGAACCAACCAUACCAUUGUCCUAAGUUCUUCCCCAGGCUUCUGCACAAAAACUCUGUCCAAGUACUUACUUUAGCUAAAACUGGGAAGGAAACAGGGCAAUUUAUUCAAGCAGUAACCCAAAGUGAGGAAGGAGAUGGCUAGGUCCUCACCGCAAAAUCUUGCUCAGACUCAGCCAGAAUGAUCUGGUCCCAAUUUUAAAACCUAGUGUUCUUCCAGGGAGCUGUGGCUCCCAAUAAGUGUUCAAGGUAUUUUUUCUAUGUCUUGUAUAAGAAAGUGGUUGAUGCAGUGACUGUUAUUGAUAAUUACACCUCUAGGGGUGCCUGGGUGGCUCAGUCCCUUAGGCUCCGACUUAGGCUUAGGUCAUGGUCUCACAGUUUGUAGGUUUGAGCCCCGCAUCGGGCUCUGUGCUGACAGCUCACAGCCUGGAUCCUGCUUUGGAUUCCGUGUCUCCCUCUCUCUCUGCCCCUCCUCCACUUGUGCUCUUUCUCUUUCCAAAUAAUAAAUAAACAUUAAAAAAAACACUUUUUUUUUUUUAAGAGAAAGGAGAGGGAAAUUUGGAUACAGAGACGCAGACACACAGAGAAGGCCAUGUGAUGACAGGCAGAAUUUGGAGUGAAUACAGCUACAAGCCAAGGAGCUCCAAGGAUUUCUGGCAGCCACCGGCAGCUAGGAGAGAGGCAUGGAGCGAAUUCUCCUGAGUCCCCAGAAAGAACCAUCUCUGCCAAGACCUUGAUUUCAUACUUCCAUCCUCUUGAAUUGUGAAAGCCCCCUCCCCCGCUUCAGUUUGUAGUACUCUUGUUAUGGAGCCAGUAACACCCACGGAAGAAGGUUUUCUCAGAGUUACUUUGUAGGGAAAGCUUUACUUCGGUUUGCUAUUGUCUUAGGAAUCAUAUGACUUUCGUAACUAAUCCAGUUUUCUUUUCUGCUUGGGCCACCAGAAAGUUCUGCAUAGACCUCGUGACCCAACUAUAGGAUGUUAUGGAAUAAAUUUGUGUAUAUUCAUCUCUUUUCUCUUCCCCUGAUUCUAAAACCUCAGUGUAUUUUUCUAUGUUAUUUUAUUGAUUUAUUUGCUACAGACUCUUCUUUUUUUUCAUUUUUUGGACUAAGAGGAGAAAAAAAGUAGUAACUGUCUUUCUCCCCCUUCCCCAGGGGAAAGAGCUAACUAUUAUUAGCCCAGAUUAUUAGCUCUGAAAGAAGCUAGAUUACUUUUUGAACUGAAAUGACCUUCUCAUUUCAGAGUUCAGAGUUCAAUCUUCUCAUUUCAGACCUGAGAAAACAGAAGCCUAAGGUUAUAUGAUUAGAUACGAGUAGAUGUUACCAUUCAUGUCUUUGAUUAUUCCAAACACUUUUGCCAUUGGGUAUCAGGUGUCUGAUAGGGAGGCAGCAGUAAGUAAUUGGAAUUUCAUAUAGUGGUACAGACUAACGAUGCCAAUUGAAAUUAUGUGUGUUGUUGAAUAUUAAUAGUAAACAUUUUAUCCUUUAGUAAAAUCAAGUGGCUACUCACCUACAUUUUGCUGUCAGAUCCCCAAAGCAAACAAAUCUCUGAGUUAUUGGACAUUUUGUUAAUUACAAAGCUAAAAACUUCUAGCAGAAGACCUGUUUCUAGAAAUGGAGGGCCAGAUUAUUGGGAAUCACCUUAAAACAAUUGGGAAGUUGAAAAGAAUUGAGAAGUGGUGACUGGCUAGCUUAUUAAAAGGCUGUUUUCAGAAUAAUACAUAAAAUGGGAGGGGGAAGGGGCAAAGCAGGGCCUUCAAAGCUGCAUACAACCUAGGGCACUGAAGGCAACAUCAUUUGGCUAAAUGUGUUUGCCCUGCAGGGUAAGGGGGACAGAAGUCCAAGCCCAGCAUAGGCAGCAGUUCUAGAAGAUUGUCCCUUUAGCACUUAAGCUUAACCCUCCGUGUAACACCCUCAGUGUAAGAGUUAAACAGAAUUAAACAUGCUUUUCUGCCUCACAACCAUGAGAGACGAGAAAAUGCUACCUUGGAGCUGAGCAGACCAGAAGAAAAACAAAGAAAAGGAACAAUAGGUCCCAUGGAAAAUUGGCCACGGACUAGUCCCCACAUGCAUUUUCACUCUGGGUGCAUAUAGUCUGGGGGAGCUGCACUACAUGCAGCUUAAAUGUGGUUUGAGAAAUGUAGAAACGAAGUAUAGAAAUUAAGAAAUGUGGGGCGCCUGGGUGGCGCAGUCGGUUAAGCGUCCGACUUCAGCCAGGUCACGAUCUCGCGGUCCGUGAGUUCGAGCCCCGCGUCAGGCUCUGGGCUGAUGGCUCAGAGCCUGGAGCCUGUUUCCGAUUCUGUGUCUCCCUCUCUCUCUGCCCCUCCCCCGUUCAUGCUCCGUCUCUCUCUGUCCCAAAAAAAUAAAUAAAUGUUGAAAAAAAAAAUUAAAAAAAAAAAAAAAGAAAUUAAGAAAUGUAGGUAAAAUUCAAUGGGCAGCUUGAAUGUGGUUUGAGGCUGUUCCCAAGUAGUAGUUGAUGAGAACCAAGGCAAAAGAAAUAUAGGCAAAAUUAAAUCUUACAACCUGCAGCUCGUUGACAAAUCCUUGAGACAGGCGGAGGGACCUUCCUCCAGGAACUCAACUGCCUUCAUGUUAAUGCUUUACUAGAGGCAAAAAGCAACCUUAGUUUGACAUUAGCCAGAAAUCCAGGAUCCUGUAAGUCUUCUUUAACGUAUGAAAAUUUCUUUGGAAACUUCCUUUAUCUCUAACCCGCCAAGAUAUAUGUUAGCAAGCAUCCUUCAAACAUACGGCCUGCUUAUAUACUUCUGAAGGGUCUCAUGACUAAUGUUUCACUAGACGGUAGUAAAUAACCUUAUCUUAACAGCAGCUAGCCCCUCAAGUCCUGGAAGCCUUGCUCCCAAAUUCCUUAGAGAUUUACCCUAUCCCCAACCCCCACUAACUAAAAAGCAGCCAUUCCUCACAAUCUCAGUACAGCGCUUUCUACCCACAGGUCCUGUCUCAGUGCUUUAAUAAAACCACCUUUUUUGCACUGAAGAUGUCUCAAGAAUUCUUUCUUGACCAUUUGCUCCCAGACCCCACAUCACCCCAACAUCACAUUAGUAGCGAGACUCUGAUGGCAGCAAAUGCAACACCUCCCAGGAGGAGAGUCUAGGCCUCAGGAAAACCUCACAUGCAGUUGUCAAGGGCAAUGGCAAAUACCCAGUUACAGGUAACCAGGCACACAAGAGGGUAAGACAACACGAGGAAGAACCAGCAGAAACAGCAGAAGAAAAUGGCUAUGCAGACUUCAAGCAUCAGAAUUCUCAGGCUCAUUAUAAAAUGACUUCACUUACCCAGUUUAAAUAAAUAAAUGACAAAAUUGAAAAUAUUUGCAGGAACUGUAAAAAUAACAUAGAUUGGGGGUGCCUGGGUGGCCCUGGUGAAGCAUCCAACUCUUGAUUUUGGCUCAGGUUCACGAUUCAUUAGAUUGAGCCCCACGUUGAGCUCUGUGCGAAUGGUGCAGAACCUGCUUGGGAUUCUGUCUCUCCCUCUCUCUGCCCCUCUCCACCCCUUUUAAAAUAAAUAAAUAAACUUUUUUUUUAAAAGGACCAAACAGAAUGUAUAUAUAUUAUCAAAUCUCUAUAUAUUUAUUAUAAAUUAUACACAUACAUAUCUGGAUGAACAUCUUUGGUGGUAGAUUGGAUACAAUAGAAGAUUAGUGGACUGAAAAUAGCUCAGAAUAUACUAUCAAGAAUUUAGAACAGGGAGUCAAAAAUAUGGACAACACAAAGCACAGAGAAGAGAACUGGAAGAGACAGAGAGAUCCAACACACAUUUACAAAUUAUACAUCUUCCCUUUCUUAAAGAUGGUGCCAAAACCAAAGGAGAAAGCCCUUGUCCUUCCCAAAGCCAAAGCCAAAGCAAAGGCUUUAAAGGCCAAGAAAGCAGUGCUGGAAGACAUCAACGGUCACCAAUAAAGAAAAUCCAAAUGUUGCCCACCUUCCGAAGGCCCAAGACACUGCAUCUCCCGAGGCAGCCCAAGAAUGCCAUCAGGGGAAAGAAGCUUCACCACUAUGCCAUCAGUUCAUCCUGACCCCCUGACUGUCUUCAGCUGUGAAGAAAACAGAAGACAACAGCAUACUUGUGUUUAUUGUAGACAUCAAGGCCAACGAGCACCAGAUCAAAUAGGCAGUGAAGAAGCUCUUUGACAUGGACAUGGCCUAGUCAACACCCUGACCAGGCUCAAUGGAGAGGAGAAGGCAUAUGUUUGCCUCCGACUAUCAUGUUUUGGGUGUCGCCAACAAAAUUGGGAUCAUCUAAACUGAGCCCAGCUGGCUAUGUCUAAAUAUAAGUUUUUUCACCAAAAAAAAAAAAA
Molecule: long non-coding RNA, 16134 nt
Filed under: Lynx pardinus (Iberian lynx)
Lineage: Eukaryota; Metazoa; Chordata; Mammalia; Carnivora; Felidae
Rfam family: tRNA (bases 1465-1533)
Source: RNAcentral